This 433-nucleotide ribosomal RNA is filed under the name uncultured bacterium. RNAcentral describes it as "partial 16S ribosomal RNA". It matches the Rfam family "Bacterial small subunit ribosomal RNA", at positions 29 to 507 of the family's 1533-position model. The record is from RNAcentral.
AACGAACGCUGGCGGCAUGCCUAACACAUGCAAGUCGAACGAGACCUCCGGGUCUUGUGGCGCACGGCUGCGUAACGCGUGGGAACCUGCCCUUAGGUUCGGAAUAACUCCCCGAAAGGGGUGCUAAUACCGGAUAAGGUCUUAGGACCAAAGAUUUAUUGCCUUUGGAUGGGCCCGCGUUGGAUUAGCUAGUUGGUAGGGUAAAAGCCUACCAAGGCGACGAUCCAUAGCUGGUCUGAGAGGAUGAUCAGCCACACUGGGACUGAGACACGGCCCAGACUCCUACGGGAGGCAGGAGUGGGGAAUAUUGGACAAUGGGCGAAAGCCUGAUCCAGCAAUGCCGCGUAAGUGAUGAAGGCCUUAGGGUUGUAAAGCUCUUUUACCCGGGAUGAUAAUGACGGUACCGGGAGAAUAAGCUCCGGCUAACUCCGUG